RNAcentral lists this ribosomal RNA (253 nucleotides) under uncultured bacterium. RNAcentral describes it as "partial 16S ribosomal RNA". It matches the Rfam family "Bacterial small subunit ribosomal RNA", at positions 524 to 776 of the family's 1533-position model. The record is from RNAcentral.
UACGUAGGGGGCAAGCGUUGUCCGGAAUCAUUGGGCGUAAAGCGCGUGUAGGCGGCUCGGUAAGUCUGCUGUGAAAGUCCAGGGCUCAACCCUGGGAUGCCGGUGGAUACUGUCGAGCUCGAGUCCGGAAGAGGCGAGUGGAAUUCCUGGUGUAGCGGUGGAAUGCGCAGAUAUCAGGAGGAACACCAACGGCGAAGGCAGCUCGCUGGGACGGUACUGACGCUGAGACGCGAAAGCGUGGGGAGCGAACAGG